UUGGCGGCAGCUUAGACAUGCAGUCGAACGAACUCUUCGGAGUUAGUGGCGACGGGUGAGUAACGCGUGGGAAUAUACCUUUCGGUACGGAACAACAGUUGGAAACGACUGCUAAUACCGUAUGCGCCCUAUGGGGGAAAGAUUUAUCGCCGAAGGAUUAGCCCGCGUUGGAUUAGCUAGUUGGUGGGGUAAAGGCCUACCAAGGCGACGAUCCAUAGCUGGUCUGAGAGGAUGAUCAGCCACACUGGGACUGAGACACGGCCCAGACUCCUACGGGAGGCAGCAGUGGGGAAUAUUGGACAAUGGGGGCAACCCUGAUCCAGCCAUGCCGCGUGAGUGAUGAAGGCCCUAGGGUUGUAAAGCUCUUUCAGCGAGGAGGAUAAUGACGUUACUCGCAGAAGAAGCCCCGGCUAACUUCGUGCCAGCAGCCGCGGUAAUACGAAGGGGGCUAGCGUUGUUCGGAAUCACUGGGCGUAAAGCGCACGUAGGCGGAUUGGUCAGUUAGGGGUGAAAUCCCAGAGCUCAACUCUGGAACUGCCUUUAAUACUGCCAGUCUUGAGUCCGAGAGAGGUGAGUGGAACUCCGAGUGUAGAGGU
Molecule: ribosomal RNA, 596 nt
Filed under: Labrenzia sp.
Lineage: Bacteria; Pseudomonadati; Pseudomonadota; Alphaproteobacteria; Hyphomicrobiales; Stappiaceae
Description: bacterial SSU rRNA
Rfam family: Bacterial small subunit ribosomal RNA
Source: RNAcentral